This 72-nucleotide transfer RNA is filed under the name Bos taurus (domestic cattle). It matches the Rfam family "tRNA". Rfam says of the family: Transfer RNA (tRNA) molecules are approximately 80 nucleotides in length. Their secondary structure includes four short double-helical elements and three loops (D, anti-codon, and T loops). The record is from Rfam by way of RNAcentral. RNAcentral also lists the same sequence under 3 other names. Lineage: Eukaryota; Metazoa; Chordata; Mammalia; Artiodactyla; Bovidae.
UCCCUGGUGGCUCAGACGGUAAAGCAUCUGUCUACGAUGCUGGAGACCCAGGUUCGAUCCCUGGGUUGGGAA